RNAcentral lists this ribosomal RNA (253 nucleotides) under uncultured bacterium. RNAcentral describes it as "partial 16S ribosomal RNA". It matches the Rfam family "Bacterial small subunit ribosomal RNA", at positions 524 to 776 of the family's 1533-position model. The record is from RNAcentral.
UACGUAGGGUGCAAGCGUUGUCCGGAAUUAUUGGGCGUAAAGAGCUCGUAGGCGGCUUGUCGCGUCGUCCGUGAAAACCCACAGCUCAACUGUGGGCUUGCGGUCGAUACGGGCAGGCUAGAGUUCGGUAGGGGAGACUGGAAUUCCUGGUGUAGCGGUGAAAUGCGCAGAUAUCAGGAGGAACACCGGUGGCGAAGGCGGGUCUCUGGGCCGAUACUGACGCUGAGGAGCGUAAGCGUGGGGAGCGAACAGG